Molecule: ribosomal RNA, 391 nt
Filed under: uncultured bacterium
Lineage: Bacteria
Description: bacterial SSU rRNA
Rfam family: Bacterial small subunit ribosomal RNA
Source: RNAcentral
GAUUGUCCCAGCAGCCGCGGUAAUACAUAGGGUGCAAGCGUUGUCCGGAAUUAUUGGGCGUAAAGAGCUCGUAGGUGGUUUGCUACGUCGGAUGUGAAAUUCAGGGGCUCAACCCCUGACUUGCAUCCGAUACGGGCAAGCUAGAGUUUGGUAGGGGAGACUGGAAUUUCUGGUGUAGCGGUGGAAUGCGCAGAUAUCAGGAGGAACACCGAUGGCGAAGGCAGGUCUCUGGGCCAAUACUGACACUGAGGAGCGAAAGCGUGGGGAGCGAACAGGAUUAGAUACCCUGGUAGUCCACGCUGUAAACGAUGUCGACUAGCUGCUUGUGUCUUCGCGACGUGGGUAGCUGCAGCUUACGCAUUAAGUCGACCGCCUGGGGAGUACGGCCGCA